AUUGAACGCUGGCGGCAUGCCUUACACAUGCAAGUCGAACGGCAGCACGGGUGCUUGCACCUGGUGGCGAGUGGCGAACGGGUGAGUAAUACAUCGGAACGUACCUUAUCGUGGGGGAUAACGCAGCGAAAGUUGUGCUAAUACCGCAUACGUCCUGAGGGGGAAAGCGGGGGAUCGAAAGACCUCGCGCGAUUAGAGCGGCCGAUGCCUGAUUAGCUUGUUGGUGGGGUAAAAGCCCACCAAGGCAGCGAUCAGUAGCUGGUCUGAGAGGACAAUCAGCACAGCUGGGACUGAGACGCGGCCCAGACUCCUACGGGAGGCAGCAGUGGGGAAUUUUGGACAAUGGGGGCAACCCUGAUCCAGCAAUGCCGCGUGAGUGAAGAAGGCCUUCGGGUUGUAAAGCUCUUUUGUCAGGGAAGAAACACCGGCUCUAACACAGUCCGGGAAUGACGGUACCUGAAGAAUAAGCACCGGCUAACUACGUGCCAGCCGCCGCGGUAA
RNAcentral lists this ribosomal RNA (501 nucleotides) under uncultured bacterium. Its description in RNAcentral is "partial 16S ribosomal RNA". It matches the Rfam family "Bacterial small subunit ribosomal RNA", at positions 30 to 523 of the family's 1533-position model. The record is from RNAcentral.